GGACCUGAUCAGCCCUGGGAGCACAGGUGUGAAGGCAAUGCACCUGUGCAACCAGAAGGAGUGGAGCCUGGCCCCACCUCUCUCAGACCCCAUUUAAGGGCUGACUGCCACUGUGGAAGCAUCUCUUUGUGGAGAUCCCUCCUCGGUGGAGGGAUGGACAGAUGAGCAGGCCUUUUUCCUUCCUUAUAGCACCUUUCUAUGCCGUUAGUCCCUCUGUCAUUACCCCUCUUGAAUCGCCUUUCCAUUGUGUUGUUCUUCCUGACAGGGAAUGGGACCAACAGCCUCAGCUUCCACGGGAACAGAACACUGGGGAAACGACUCUGAAAAUGAUUCUGACGAGUUCAGCCAGAUGGAGGCUGAAGAAGACCUCAUGGGGAGGUGCCUGAGGGCCCUCCUCCAGUCCCUCCAGGAAGCAGCCAGCAGCAGGGGAAGGCAGCGGGAAGAGGAAGAAACCCUCCGCUGACGCCACACUGCGGUGUGACAGCUAGAGUGCUCGUUCUACAGAUGGACAGUGGGAAAGGCAGCAAUGCAAGGUGACAGUCACCGCUUGGGCAGAACACACCUCAGCCCAACAAAGGUUCUUGCGCUGAAGACACCUUGACGACUACAAUGUCUUCUACUGCCAUCAACGCCCACUGGCAUCAUAUGGGACCAGACUCUGCUCUGUUUCACCACGGGUUCAGCAACAACAUGCACGUGCAGCGGAGGCGCCCACCCAAGUGACGUGGAGAAACUUGUACUGGCAGCAACCUUGCUCUCCCUGGAAAGCCAGGGCCAGCCUGUAAGAAGAAAAACAUGCAGGCGUGAGCUGCUAGUUCCAGGGUUUUCCGGAAUCUUUCUCUUUCCUUUUCAGACAGGAUAUGUAUAUUUGCACUGUACGCAUCAUGUAUAUAGUCAAAUUUGUUUCCUUUAUGUAAUUCUGUUACCCUGUGCGUGUUGCUCUAGGCAUUUUCUUCCGAAGGAUGUAUCGGUGUUUAAAAAUAAAUUGUUGAACAGCUCAA
This is a long non-coding RNA of Numida meleagris (helmeted guineafowl), 1001 nucleotides long. RefSeq lists it as uncharacterized. The record is from RefSeq and is a predicted model, not a curated record. NCBI's taxonomy places the organism in Eukaryota, Metazoa, Chordata, Aves, Galliformes, Numididae. The transcript has 3 exons.